RNAcentral lists this ribosomal RNA (300 nucleotides) under uncultured Flavobacterium sp. Its description in RNAcentral is "bacterial SSU rRNA". It matches the Rfam family "Bacterial small subunit ribosomal RNA", at positions 115 to 411 of the family's 1533-position model. Lineage: Bacteria; Pseudomonadati; Bacteroidota; Flavobacteriia; Flavobacteriales; Flavobacteriaceae. The record is from RNAcentral.
GCGUAUGCAACCUACCUUCUACAGGGGGAUAGCCCAGAGAAAUUUGGAAUAAUACCCCAUACGAUCUUUACUUGGCAUCGAGUAGAGAAGAAAACCUCGGUGGUAGAAGAUGGGCAUGCGUCCUAUUAGUUAGUUGGUGAGGUAACGCUCACCAAGACAUCGAUAGGUAGGGGCCCGUCGAGAGGGGGAGUCCCCCACCACUGGUACUGAGACACGGACCAGACUCCUACGGGAGGCAGCAGUGAGGAAUAUUGGACAAUGGGGGCGAACCCUGAUCCAGCCAUGCCGCGUGCAGGAAGA